This 898-nucleotide ribosomal RNA is filed under the name Brachybacterium sp. RNAcentral describes it as "bacterial SSU rRNA". It matches the Rfam family "Bacterial small subunit ribosomal RNA", at positions 66 to 974 of the family's 1533-position model. The record is from RNAcentral. Lineage: Bacteria; Bacillati; Actinomycetota; Actinomycetes; Micrococcales; Dermabacteraceae.
ACGAUGACGGUGGUGCUUGCACCGCCUGAUUAGUGGCGAACGGGUGAGUAACACGUGAGUAACCUGCCCUCCACUUCGGGAUAACCUCGGGAAAUCGUGGCUAAUACCGGAUAUGAGCACUCAUCGCAUGGUGGGUGUUGGAAAGAUUUAUCGGUGGGGGAUGGACUCGCGGCCUAUCAGUUUGUUGGUGAGGUGAUGGCUCACCAAGACGAUGACGGGUAGCCGGCCUGAGAGGGCGACCGGCCACACUGGGACUGAGACACGGCCCAGACUCCUACGGGAGGCAGCAGUGGGGAAUAUUGCACAAUGGGCGAAAGCCUGAUGCAGCGACGCCGCGUGGGGGAUGACGGCCUUCGGGUUGUAAACCCCUUUCAGUAGGGAAGAAGCGAGAGUGACGGUACCUGCAGAAGAAGCGCCGGCUAACUACGUGCCAGCAGCCGCGGUAAUACGUAGGGCGCAAGCGUUGUCCGGAAUUAUUGGGCGUAAAGAGCUUGUAGGUGGCUUGUCGCGUCUGCCGUGAAAACCCGAGGCUCAACUCGGGCGUGCGGUGGGUACGGGCAGGCUAGAGUGUGGUAGGGGAGACUGGAACUCCUGGUGUAGCGGUGAAAUGCGCAGAUAUCAGGAAGAACACCGAUGGCGAAGGCAGGUCUCUGGGCCAUUACUGACACUGAGAAGCGAAAGCAUGGGUAGCGAACAGGAUUAGAUACCCUGGUAGUCCAUGCCGUAAACGUUGGGCACUAGGUGUGGGGGACAUUCCACGUUUUCCGCGCCGUAGCUAACGCAUUAAGUGCCCCGCCUGGGGAGUACGGCCGCAAGGCUAAAACUCAAAGGAAUUGACGGGGGCCCGCACAAGCGGCGGAGCAUGCUGAUUAAUUCGAUGCAACGCGAAGAAUCUUAC